This 102-nucleotide small nuclear RNA is filed under the name Nicotiana sylvestris (wood tobacco). RNAcentral also lists the same sequence under 1 other name. The record is from RNAcentral. Lineage: Eukaryota; Viridiplantae; Streptophyta; Magnoliopsida; Solanales; Solanaceae.
GUCCCUUCCGGACAUCCGAUAAAGAUGGAGCAAUACAGAAAAAAUUAGCAUGCCCAUUGCGGAAGGGUAACACGGACAAAUCGAGAAAUGGUCCAAUUUUUA